CAGUAGCCGCGGUAAUACAGAGGGUGCGAGCGUUAAUCGGAUUUACUGGGCGUAAAGCGUGCGUAGGCGGCUUUUAAGUCGGAUGUGAAAUCCCUGAGCUUAACUUAGGAAUUGCAUUCGAUACUGGGAAGCUAGAGUAUGGGAGAGGAUGGUAGAAUUCCAGGUGUAGCGGUGAAAUGCGUAGAGAUCUGGAGGAAUACCGAUGGCGAAGGCAGCCAUCUGGCCUAAUACUGACGCUGAGGUACGAAAGCAUGGGGAGCAAACAGGAUUAGAUACCCCCGUAGUCCCUGUCUCUUAUACA
This 301-nucleotide ribosomal RNA is filed under the name uncultured bacterium. RNAcentral describes it as "partial 16S ribosomal RNA". It matches the Rfam family "Bacterial small subunit ribosomal RNA", at positions 509 to 808 of the family's 1533-position model. The record is from RNAcentral.